Molecule: transfer-messenger RNA, 382 nt
Filed under: Streptantibioticus silvisoli
Lineage: Bacteria; Bacillati; Actinomycetota; Actinomycetes; Kitasatosporales; Streptomycetaceae
Rfam family: transfer-messenger RNA
About the family: Bacterial tmRNA, also known as 10Sa RNA or SsrA, is named for its dual tRNA and mRNA-like properties. Its role is to liberate the mRNA from a stalled ribosome.
Source: RNAcentral
GGGGAUGAUCGGUUUCGACUGCGGUUGUCGAGGCAGAGGAAGCGAGCCGAGGAAUGCGGCAAUGAUCUCGUAAACCACCUGUCGCAAAACAAUAAUCGCCAAUCACAAGCGCGAUUCCUUCGCCCUCGCUGCCUGAUCUAAUCAGCUAGCGACUCUGCGGAGUGUCAGCCCGGGACUGUUCCCGACCCGGAUCCUGACAUCAUCAAGGGAACUAAACCACUGGGCCCGGCCACGGGGCCCGGUGGGAAAUCAAACAGUGGCUGGGCCCGUCGGCAGCUUGUCCGCGUGACAGCCGGGGCCGAGAAAAGCACAGCGGACUGCGCUCGGAGAAGCUCUGGUUCCGCACCGUAGGACGCGGGUUCGAUUCCCGCCAUCUCCACGA